This 484-nucleotide ribosomal RNA is filed under the name uncultured bacterium. RNAcentral describes it as "partial 16S ribosomal RNA". It matches the Rfam family "Bacterial small subunit ribosomal RNA", at positions 30 to 507 of the family's 1533-position model. The record is from RNAcentral.
AUUGAACGCUGGCGGCAUGCUUUACACAUGCAAGUCGAACGGCAGCGCGGGCUUCGCCCUGGCGGCGAGUGGCGAACGGGUGAGUAAUACAUCGGAACGUGCCCAGUAGUGGGGGAUAGCUCGGCGAAAGCCGGAUUAAUACCGCAUACGACCUGAGGGUGAAAGCGGGGGAUCUUCGGACCUCGCGCUAUUAGAGCGGCCGAUGUCAGAUUAGCUAGUUGGUGGGGUAAAGGCCUACCAAGGCGACGAUCUGUAGCUGGUCUGAGAGGACGACCAGCCACACUGGAACUGAGACACGGCCCAGACUCCUACGGGAGGCAGCAGUGGGGAAUUUUGGACAAAGGGCGAAAGCCUGAUCCAGCAAUGCCGCGUGUGUGAUGAAGGCCUUCGGGUUGUAAAGCACUUUUGGCGGGAACGAAAAGGACUGUGCCAAUACCACGGUUUGAUGACGGUACCCGCAGAAUAAGCACCGGCUAACUACGUG